RNAcentral lists this long non-coding RNA (17866 nucleotides) under Gossypium barbadense (sea-island cotton). RNAcentral describes it as "long non-coding RNA (GBAR_LNC022117)". Lineage: Eukaryota; Viridiplantae; Streptophyta; Magnoliopsida; Malvales; Malvaceae. The record is from RNAcentral.
AGAUAUUUGGUUUAUGAAAUGGCCUUGUUCCUUCAUGAGCUUAUUCCACUCCAUCAUGUAAUCAGGGUUACAUGUAUAGCCUGUUAGCUUCUCCAUUUCUACAAUCUCUUUCACCCUAUUGAUUGAUUGCUCCCUCAGCUUUUGAACAAGGUUGUGAGCAGCUCCUUUUGCGGAUACCUUGAGGUGAUAAUACAUUUCCGAGUGGCGCGUCAAAACAGACAUCACCACAUCGUCUAUGUAAUCCCAAUACUUUUCGCUGAAUUUGAUAGGGAGACACGAUAUCCUCUCGACUUUUCUCCGUAAGAUACGAAGGAAUGCUUCACAGGGAAGGAAGUUCGGUAGUUCGAUCCCCCUAGCAUCUUCCAAACCCUUGAUCUCUUCUGUUAAAAAGUCUUUUGAUAGAUUACUUUCCUCGCAGUUGUGAAGCUCAUCAGAGAGCCAGUUCAGCAUUUCAACAAACCGAGCAGUCCCGUGCUUCGUGUUGUCCUCGGGGUAUUCAUCAAAUUCCCCCCUCCAAAGAAGUUUCUUGAGGGAUUCUUUAGCUGCUUGAAUGAUCCUCAUCAUAGCUUGAGUGGCAUCAGCAAUAGAAGUUAAGGCCUUUGGCAUUUUCUCUAGCUCUGAAACAUUUGCAUCCAGCUUUGCACUAAUGUUUUUAACAAUCUCUGGCAAGCACUUUGCAAUUGCAUUAGCUUGAAUUCGGACAAGCUUUUGAGCCAAAACAUGAACACCCACAAUUGAUUUAUCAAUACGUGACAAAUGUGCAUUAGUUUCGAACAAUCUAGCCUCUUCCUUCCUUGCUUCUUCAUAGGAUUCAUCACCAAUCCGAUUCCGAACACAAACAUAACCAAGUCCUAUAUUCACAUCAUCUGCAGUAACCUUGUCAACAAGCCCUUCGGGGGCCCUAUCUACUUUAGUAACCACGGCAAGAGUUCUCUCACCAUUCUUGUCCACUUGUUGCGACAUCCUAAUGGAUUCACAAGUUGAAAAAUCAACCGUAGCCGACAGAACAUUAAGGAUAAUGCUUUCCUUUGGUGUUAUGUACUGCAUGAUGAUGUCCCGGAUCUGCUCAUAUAUGUUGUCGGGCUGACCAUGGACAGGAACUCUGGUAAUUCCAGGAAGAUCAACCAUGGUAAGAUCAGGAACCCCAUCUUUUCUCACCACCAAAGUCAAAGGGAUGUCAGAUAUGCUCUUACCCGGGCCUGCAACCUCAUCAGUUGCAAUGUUUAUGGCUGUUGCAAUCUGGGGUUCCUCCACUGGGACCGUUUUGCCAUUGUACUCCAAGUAGAGCUCUAGCCCUUGCCUUGCAUGGUUCUGCAACCUGAUUAUAAGAGGUACCCUGGUGCAAAUGCCCUGGCUACGAGGAAGGUUAACACCAGCCAAGGAUUCAAGAACACUAGACUUGCCUGAUGACUGGUCUCCAACCACAACAAUUGUGGGGAGCUGUAUGCCUUCUUUCAUCACCAUGAGCAGCCUGAGCCUGUCGAUGACAUCAAGCAAAGGUCGGAUUUUGUCAUUGUAUGAUGAAAUAAUUGGGGCUUGGGCUGCUGCUGCUCCCACCACCUUAGGUUCUUCCAUAGGAGGAGUUGCUGGUUGAGAAUCUUCAUAAUCAUUGAUGACACCAAUGCUCCCUGAAUCAGCUUCAUCAUAGCUACCCAUUUUUUAGAAGUCGAGACAGGAUGGGAAUUGGCCAAACUUGAUGUUUUAGAUGGUUUUUUUUGUUGGAAGUUGGAAAGCAAUAAACUUGAACUAAAGUGAAGACAAAUUCAAUGAAGCAUGUUUGGCUUUAUAAUGAAAAUUAAAAUAGGGUAAAGCACCGAAAUUAGGAACAAUAAAGCGAUAGCAUCCUAUACCAAACCCCAAGAAACAAGCAAACGAAGCUACAAUGGGAAUGGAAAACUUUAUGUUAUACUUUGAAUUGUAGAAAAUAAUGAUACAAGGACAGAAGAGAGGAAACAGAACAAAAUCAAAUCGUGACCAACCAAAAGAUGAGUGUGUCGAUGACAGAAAGUUCGAAACAUAAACAGCCCCACAAGUUCCUACAGGAACUAGACAGCAGAACUAUAUGAAACAAUGUAUUCACAUUGAAGUUUCGGAUAGAUGCCACGUACAAGCCAUGUUGCCAUUACCUCAUAUGCUCUUUGUGUCAAAUGAGCUCCAUCCCAACUAAGCUGUUCAUUAGGGUUUUCGCAUACCGGUACUUUUGGAUCUCCGCACCAACUUGAUAAGCCAGAAUUGUAGUCUUCCCCAAUUCCGCAGCAAGCUUUUUGCAAUGAUGUUGGAUCAAAACCAGAUGAGAUUUUUCGAAAACUCAGAACAUGACUAGAACCAUUCACAGUACGAUCACAUAAACUUAUGGAUGCAAAUAAAUCAGACUUACCAAGCAGAUCAGCUUUGCUCAAAAGCCACAGGAAUGCAUUGUAGUAGUCACCGUAGACAACGAUUACAUCUGGAUGUUUUUCUUUUAGCUGAUCAGCAAUAGCUUGUUGAAGAAGAUGAUUAUGAUAGAUUGAAAAAAAGGCUUGACUUCGUCCCUUUCGUAUACCUACUCUAAGACAAAAAAAAAAUCAUUUUAUUAAUUAAGCUUUUUGUUUAUUAAUAAUUUGUUUUUUUUUCAAAUUCAUUAAAUACAAUUAAAAACAUUUGGAAGAAAAAUCUAAUGGUAGACUAGAUAUAGUUAAGAUAAUAUCUAACAGAGAGAUCGAUGUUCGAGUAUUUGUUGAAGUUCCUACGUAACUUUUAAUAAUUUUACAAACGGAUAGAGAUAAUAGUUUAUUCGAACAUUUAUUUUUAAUAGAGUGAAGAAACCCAAUUAUUUAAUUUAUGGGUAAACUACAUAAAGGGUAACACAAGUAUAAAAAGUUACAAAAUGUUCAUCUAACUAUUCAAUAUUGUUUUUUUAGAUCACCCGGCUAACGGUGGCUACUUUUAAAAUUUGAAUAAUAGAAAUUUAACCCUCAACACUUAUAUAUUGUAUCAAUUUAGUCUUGAUUCUAAAAAAAAAUUUAACUCUCAACAUUUACACAUUGUAUAAUUUGGUCUCUCUUUUUGUAAUUUUGCUUUUCUUUGUGACAUUUAGUGUUAAUUUUAAAAGAAUAAGAAAAGAAAAAAAAUAUUAUCUUAGAUUUCUGGGUGCUCCUAUUUUUUAUAUAUUUUUAAUCAAAUUUAACUGAUAAAUUUAUUUUUAACUUUUUAAGUGAAAGGGUAAAGAAAAACAAAGUUGUACUAGAAAAAAGAAGAUCAAACUACCCAAUGUAUAAAUGUUGAUAGUUAAUUAUUUCUGGAAUCAAGAUUAAAUUGACAUAAUUUAUAAAUAUUGAGGGUUAAAGUUGAUAUUAUGCGAAUAUUAAAAGUUGCCACCGAUGAUCAGUAACCAAAAAAGACAAAACUGAAUAACUUAGUGAUCAUUUUGUAACUCUUCAUAAAUUUUAGUACAAAAUUAAGUGAAUGUUAACGUGUUUGAGGCAAAUCUCGAUGAACAUGUCAUGCAACGCAUAGCUAAAGGGGUAGAUAAGAGCUUUAGACCUCUUUUAGUUAAAUGGUAUCAUUAUGAUUAUAGUGCCUCUUAAAUGUCAAUUGUUUAAUUUAGUUCCUUUCUAGCUUUUAUUUAAAUGGAACAAUUGUAAUUUAGACCCUUUUCAAAUGUUUAAAUUUAAUUUCAGUUAUUUUAACGUAAAAUAUUUUAGCUUUGUCCCCUAUUUUUUUAAUUUUAUCUUGGCUCUUCAUCACAUAAUUCAUGACUGACAUAUAUGCCAUAGGUCAUAAGAUUGAGUCAAACUAUGCAAAAACUCUUUAGUUUCACCUGUUUGAGCACUUCAAGGCGUUCUCACUCUCUAAACCCACCAAGGAUCUAGACAAAGUCGGGAGACAAAACUCCGACUGGGGACAAUACUGGACUUGCUUAUAUCUGCUUUAUAGUUGUAUUUGUAGCAUACAAUGUAUAUUUUGUCAAAUUUGAAUACUUCUUGUUUGCUUGUCUAUUAUUCUUUUGAUAGAAGAUACAACUUUCUUUAUUUGUAUGUCCAUAUAAUUUGUUACAUUCGAUCUGUGAACCAUAUUUGACCUUCAUAUUGUCAACCAUGCCACUUGUUCAAUGGAAAAUUACCUUUGUUGAUUUGUUCUUGGUUGACAUUAAGUUCAAGGUUCGAAUCAGGAAAACCAAUCUCUCUCCCCUUAUUAUAUUUAUGUAUAUACAUGUAUUUGACCUUCAUGUUUGUUGGUGAGAAAAUGGUACAGAGUAAAUUGAAUUUUGCUUUUUGUUUGGUGUGUUUCCUAGGGAAAGCUUUAUGGAAGCCAACAAGAAUGGAAAUUUGGUUGAUGUUGAUCGGAAGGCGUUCGAAACUUGGAAAAAAUGAGCGAGGAGGUAUAGGUCCCUUGCUCCUCCCACUUUGUCAUAACUUUUCAUUGGAAGUUUUCUGUUGUAAUUUUGUAUUGAGUAUCGUCCCGAGUAUUUUCUUUAAUAGGAGAGGAAACCAUAUGUUACUCAGCCUACAUGAAGGAUAUGACUGAAGCGGAUAAAAAUAUUGUAAAGGUAACUGGGAUUCAGAGUUUAUGGAUGCUAAUUUCGUAUAAUUUAAACUUUCUAGAGCGACCUAAAUAUGUUGUUGGUGUAAUUGGUGAAAUUGUUUGUUGUGCUUUCAUAGCAAUGCUGAUACAUUCUGAAUAUUUGAUCAUGGAACUUGUUCCGUAGAUUCUUAAUUCAGAACUAUGAAUAGGGGCAUACUAAGGCAUACUAAAGAUGCAUGAUUUUGAACUCAUGAUCCUCUCAUCUUUACAUAAUCUAUGUUGCCACUCGGUUUUCUCCCUAUCGUUGUCAAUUAUUGUCAUCACAAUUGCUUUUCAAUGAUUUUUUCAGUUAGAAUUAGUAUCUUUUCCUUGUUUUGUCCACAAAAGCAAGAAUGAUAUAUGAUAGCUGUGAUUUAUCUGACAAUUAGCUUCUCUAAAUCUUUCACCCUAAUCAAUUGUCAAAAAUUUGCUGUUCUAGUGCUUAUUGGCUUCUCGUUUUUAACUUGAAAGUUAACUUAUCUAUUGUUCAAACAUCAAAAUGGAACAAAGUUUUGCAUCAUAUUCGAAGUUAUUAAUGAGUUAUUUUCUUUAGGUGGAUGAUGAGGCUGAUUCAGCAAUGGUUGGGAAAUUUGAUGAGGUUUGUAUAUAUGUUUGGAGCACAAAAAACAUAGCAAAUAUAGAUAAAUUUACGUAUUGUAUAUCUACUUGUGCUUAAACUAAGUCAUUCCCCUGCCAGUUGAGGCUCUGAAACCUUUGGGCACUGAAGUUCGAGUUUCACUAUGUAAAUCAUGUGUUGGUUCUCCCCCAGAUUUAUUUUGUUUACUUAGUUAGAGUUGAGUUAGCUUCAGUGAAUGUAACGAUUGAUUAUGUUAGUUCCCCCCUCUUUUGCCACCUCUUCUUCGUUGAAUUUACAGUUCUAUGAAGAUUAUGGGUACUAUGAAACAUCUGAUGAUGAUGGUGAACCAUACCACUCUGGAGGAUUCAAGAGCUUAAACACAACUGAACAGUAAUCGAAGUCUUCCCCACAUUUCAGUUCAAUUACCUAACUUAACCGCAAUCAUAUAUUGUGCACAAGACCGAUAAGUUAUGGCUUUCAUGAAGCAGGGAAACUGCUAUCGAGGGCGGAACUUGAAGAUGUUCUGGUUUUUGUUUCAUGUCAAUGGACCUUAUCCAACUGGCAAUGGUGGAAAAAAAAAGUUUGCCAUUUUGAUUCAUUUGUUAAGGCAAAUCAUUUGGCUAUUGUAAAGUAGUUAUAGGGGUUUUAGCCUUCGAAGCAGAUUGGUAUUUGUUUUGCUAUUUGGCAGUGGCAGUGGCAAUGGCAAUGGGGGUUUCACAGGUGAGUGGCAAGGGCUAUAGAGGAAGCAUCAUUUUGUCUAUAUUUUUUUAGUUUUAUGGAAUUUGGUUGAUGGAAUAGGUGAUAUGUUGGGUUGGAUAAAAUAAUCUAUAUUUUAUUGAAGUUAUGUUUGUUUUUAUCUGUUAGAAAAUUGAAGAAUGAUAUUAGAAAAUAUUUAGUCAAAUAAUUUGUAUUAAUAAUAGUUAAUUAUGCCUUUGUGGCUAAGCUCAUGGAAAUCAUUUAAAAAUAAAAUCUAAUAAAUAAUUAAACAUAUGAUUUAAAAUUAAUAAUAAUAACAAAGUAAUAUGUACGAAAUUUAAAUAGGUAAAUACAUUUGAUUAAGCUUUAUGUUCUGUUCUAAAUUUGGUUUCUUAAUACUUCUUCUGAAUAAGUUGGUGUCGAGUUGAUUCAUGAUACCAAUUUAGUCACAUGGUUAAAUAACUAUAUAGAUACAAAAGUUAAAUAUUUAAGAUGAUUGAUGCCUUCUGAACAUAACACCAUUUAAAUUUAUAUAAAUGUAUGAAAAUACGAAAAAUACUCAAUAACAAUAUUUAUUAAUAAUUUAAAUUUUGAUUUUUUUUAGUUUUCUUUUAUUCAAUUGGUGUCAAGUUAAAUCGUGACGCUGAUUCAGUUACAAUAUAUAGAAUAUGACGUGAGUGACAGACCAAUUUUAUUUAAAAUUUUAAUAUAAAAUAACAAUAAAGGUUUGAUUGAAACGGAAAAAUUAAAGAUUUAAGUUGCUUGAUGUCUUAUGUAAAGGUUUAAAUCGCAUCAUUUGCUUAUUUCCUUAAGUUUAAGUUGUUCCUUAUAACUUUUAUAAAAAUGUGUGAAAAUACAAAAACACCCUAUGAUAAUGUUUAUUAAUUGUUUAAAAUUUGAGUUUUUAGUACUUCUCUAAUUAAAUUAGUGUCGAGUUGAUUCGUAACAUCAACUCAAUCACACUUAAAUUAAAGUUUCCAUACAUAGAACACCAGGUGGGUGAGAGUGAUAGACGAGAUUUAUGAAAAAAAUUCAUGUAAAAUAACAAUGAAGUUUCGGUUAAAAUAAUAAAUUUAAUUUGUAAUAUUUAUAAUGAUAAAUUUACACAGAAUACUUGCCAUUUGCAUAUUUUUUAUAAGUUUAUUUUAUUUUUUAAAAUAAAGUUUAUAUAAAGGUAUGAAAUGCAAAACUACCUUAUAAUAAUAUUUAUUAAUCGUUAAAAUUUUGAUUUUUUUAAUACUUUGUCUAAUCGAGUUGGUGUCGAGUUAGUCAAUGAUAUAAUUUAGACAUAUAAUUAGACAACAGUGUAAAAGUGUAGAUACAUAGAUCACAAUGCGCGUGAUAAGCAAAUUUUAUGUAAAAAAAAACUCAUAUAAAUAUUAUAUUAAUAGAUGAGAACAUCUGUAUUUAAUAAUUAGACAACAGUGUAAAAAUGUAGACACAUAGAUUACAAUGGGCGUGAUAAGCAAAUUUUAUGUAAAAAAACUCAUAUAAAUAUUAUAUUAAUAGAUGAGAACAUCAGUAUUUAAAAAAAAAAAUCCAGAAAGCUGAUUGCAUACCAAGGCUUGGAACAUGGCAAUCAUGGUACACAAAAAAGCCAAAAAAAAUUUAGCAAUAAGAUUUCAUAAAGAUAUAAAUUGUUUACAACAGUAAAUUAACACAAGAAAAUAAAAAUAAAACAAAGUAGAAAACUAACCCCCACCCCCAAUUUGCCGUCCACAGUAGUUGUGACCUUAUUAUAUAAUCUUCAAUCCUUAAUAAUCUAUACUAUAUAUAUAGAACACAGACACUUAAAACAUGCAAUAAGCAAACCAUGAUAAUGACCCAAAUUUUAUGUGAAAAUAUUAAACCAAGCAAGCAUCAUAAGCAACAAUCCCAUCCAUGAUCUUGGCCACACUAUCUUUGGACUCCUUUAACACCUUGAUGCUGUUUUUAAGCUUCUCACGCUUUGCAACAAUGGCAGGAGAUUCCACCAGCAUCAUCUUUAUCCCAUGUCCAUCUGGUCCCAUCAGCUCCUUCACAAUCUCAUCAAUGUCAUUGUGUACAAGAUUAUGAACAUGGUAUCGUAAAUGCAAUGCCAUGGAAUCAACCAAUCUCACCUUAAAUACCUUCCAAUAAGCAACCAUUCUCAUCUUCAGGUCGAAAGCUUGUUGCAGGAUCGAAACAUCCGAGUGUUUUCUGAGAUGUUCGAUUUGGAUUUCCCCUAAACCUUCGAGAUCCACACUGCAAGGCAGCGGCCGCAUGUUUGUUCCAGAUAUUUGGUUCAUGAAAUGGUCUUGUUGCUUCAUGAGCUUAUUCCACUCCAUCAUGUAAUCAGGGUUACAUGUGUAGCCUGUUAGCUUCUCCAUUUCUACAAUCUCUUUCACCCUAUUGAUUGAUUGCUCCCUCAGCUUUUGAACAAGGUUGUGAGCAGCUCCUUUUGCGGAUACCUUGAGGUGAUAAUACAUUUCCGAGUGGCGCGUCAAAACAGACAUCACCACAUCGUCUAUGUAAUCCCAAUACUUUUCGCUGAGUUUGAUAGGGAGAUACGAUAUCCUCUCGACUUUUCUCCGUAAGAUACGAAGGAAUGCUUCACAGGGAAGGAAGUUCGGUAGUUCGAUCCCCCUAGCAUCUUCCAAACCCUUGAUCUCUUCUGUUAAAAAGUCUUUUGAUAGAUUACUUUCCUCGCAGUUGUGAAGCUCAUCGGAGAACCGGUUCAGCAUUUCAACAAACCGAGCAGUCCCGUGCUUCGUGUUGUCCUCGGGGUAUUCAUCAAAUUCCCCCCUCCAAAGAAGUUUCUUCAGGGAUUCUUUAGCUGCUUGAAUGAUCCUCAUCAUAGCUUGAGUGGCAUCAGCAAUAGAAGUUAAGGCCUUUGGCAUUUUCUCUAGCUCUGAAACAUUUGCAUCCAGCUUUGCACUAAUGUUUUUAACAAUCUCUGGCAAGCACUUUGCAAUCGCAUUAGCUUGAAUUCGGACAAGAUUUUGAGCCAAAACAUGAACCCCCACAAUUGAUUUAUCAAUACGUGACAAAUGUGCAUUAGUUUCGAACAAUCUAGCCUCUUCCUUCCUUGCCUCUUCAUAGGAUUCAUCACCAAUCCGAUUCCGAACACAAACAUAACCAAGUCCUAUAUUCACAUCAUCUGCAGUAACCUUGUCAACAAGCCCUUCGGGGGCCCUAUCUACUUUAGUAACCACGGCAAGAGUUCUCUCACCAUUCUUGUCCACUUGUUGCGACAUCCUAAUGGAUUCACAAGUUGAAAAAUCAACCGUAGCCGACAGAACAUUAAGGAUAAUGCUUUCCUUUGGUGUUAUGUACUGCAUGAUGAUGUCCCGGAUCUGCUCAUAUAUGUUGUCGGGCUGACCAUGGACAGGAACUCUGGUAAUUCCAGGAAGAUCAACCAUGGUAAGAUCAGGAACCCCAUCUUUUCUCACCACCAAAGUCAAAGGGAUGUCAGAUAUGCUCUUACCCGGGCCUGCAACCUCAUCCGUUGCAAUGUUUAUGGCUGUUGCAAUCUGGGGUUCCUCCACUGGGACCGUUUUGCCAUUGUACUCCAAGUAGAGCUCUGGCCUUGGACUUGCAUGGUUCUGCAACCUGAUUAUGAGAGGUACCCUGGUGCAAAUGCCCUGGCUACGAGGAAGGUUAACACCAGCCAAGGAUUCAAGAACACUAGACUUGCCUGAUGACUGGUCUCCAACCACAACAAUUGUGGGGAGCUGUAUGCCUUCUUUCAUCACCAUGAGCAGCCUGAGCCUGUCGAUGACGUCAAGCAAAGGUCGGAUUUUGUCAUUGUAUGAUGAAAUAAUUGGGGCUUGAACUGCUGCUGCUCCCACCACCUUAGGUUCUUCCAUAGAAGGAGUUGCUGGUUGAGAAUCUUCAUAAUCAUUGAUGACACCAAUGGUCCCUGAAUCAGCUUCAUCAUAGCUUCCCAUUUUCUAGAAGUCGAGACAGGACGGGAAUUGGCCAAACUUGAUGUUUUAGAUGGUUUUUUUUGUUGGAAGUUGGAAAGCAAUAAACUUGAACUAAAGUGAAGACAAAUUCAAUGAAGCAUGUUUGGCUUUAUAAUGAAAAUUAAAAUAGGGUAAAGCACCAAAAAUAGGAACAAUAAAGCGAUAUCAUCCGAUACGAUUACAUCUGGAAGUUUUUCUUUUAGCUCAGCAAUAGCUUGUUGAAGAAGUUGAUUAUGAUAGAUUUAAAAAUUAUUCAACUCCUUUAAAAUUAUAUAAUUUAAUUUUGGCCUAAAAAAAAAAAAGUCUUGACUUCGUCCCUUUCGUAUACCGACUCUAAGACAAAAAAAAUCAUUUUAUUAAUUAAGCUUUUUUGUUUAUUAAUAAUUUGUUUUUUUCAAAUUCAUUAAAUACAAUUAAAAAUAUUUGAAAGAAAAAUCUAGUCGUAGAUCAGAUAAUUAAAAUAAUAUCUAGCAGAGAGGUCGAUGUUCGAGUAUUUGUUAAAAUUCUUAGGUAACUAGAGGUAAUAAUUUAUUUGAUCAUUUAUUUUUAAUAGAGUGAGGAAACUCAAUUAUCUCUAUUUUUAAUAGAGCGAUUUUUGUUUUUACAUGAAGAAUUUCGUGGAAUUUUGUAUCGUGGAAAAUGGAAAUCAAUGGAAAAGGACGAUAAGGCUGGGUUUGUCUGUCGUACGGCCUGCCUUUGUCUGAAACUUGCUUACGAAGGAGUUAGUGGGGUUAUCCGCUGUGCUCAAUCUUAAAAAACAAUAUUUAACACCUGCAUUUUCCACUUAUCUCAGUGAUAAUGCGAUAAUUGGAAAAUUUUACAAAUUUACAAAAAAAAAAUAUAAAUAAAAUUAUAAAAAGUAUACAUAAUUUUGAAAAUAAAUGAUCAUUGGCUUCAUUUUGAUAUUUUAACCUUUAAUCAUUUUAUUUUAUAUAAAAAAAUUAAACUGAUAAAAAAUUGAUUUCAAAUUAUUUUUAUUUUUAUUUUCCAAUUUUUAGUGUAAAUAUUGAUUUUUGUGUAAUUUUUUGUACUUCAAUUGUUAAAGUAUGUAGUUUGAUACAUAAUUAUUGUUGUUAAUUUAUGAUUGCUAUGAAUGGGAUGCAUUGGGUUUGAAAUAUUUUAAGUAAAUUAUCAAAUUUUAUAACAUUAGUUAAAAUUAAAAGAAUAUAUAUUUACUCUCUUUUUUUUCUUUGGAUCUUGCUUUGUGGAUUAGAUAACAAAUAUUGGUGUUUGAUUAUGUUUGAUAAUAUCUACUUUUUUUUAUACAAUUUCUAGAAGUACUUGUAGCCCCUCUUAAGCCAUAAGUAGAAGGUUAAUAUGCUUCAGCGCACAAAAACUUACAUGUCUUCCUGCAUUGGCAAUUGAGUUUGUAAUAGCCAAUUUUUGCCCGACCCACUAAGAAAACAAACAAUAAAACAAACAAAAAAAUAAAGUCCCAAAAUUACAACAAACAAAACCAGGCCUAAAAUUAAACAAACCCAACAGGCCCAAAAAUUUUAAAAAAAAACUUAGCCCAAACAGCAUUAACAUUUGCAGCAGAAAGGAGCAAACCCUAGCCCCCAAGCCUCCAGCGCCGCAAGAACCAAGCUCCCUCACGCACACCACCACCGCUGCUAGCCAAUCGUUGGCCUUCCACGCGCGUCAGACCUCUUGCAAAGAGAAAUCAAUGCAAGACGGUAGAAACAAUAACAAAACGACAAAAAAAUAUAACUUAUGAGUCUUGUAACUUGGCUAUAAAAGCCGAAGUAUCCUCUUUGUAACUUUUUUACACACACUAGAAAUCAAAAGCCGAAUAGAAAUCUUAAAAGGUUGACCCUUUACUAUUUCUACUACGUUUUCUUGUUUUUCUUUUCUUUUCUUUAUCUAUUUUCUUUUAUUUUAUUUUUUACAAAUCCAUUUUAAAUAAUUAUAAUAAAAAUCAAAAUAAAGAAAAGGAAAGGAAAACCUUACCUGGAACCGCCGCGUGGCCCUGUUGACGGAGGUCCCUUUGCCGUCGUCGGAGUCGAGCUAAAAGGGGUGGUUAGAUUCCUCCUUUUUCUUUCGGCCUCUCAUCACCGGUACCGUCCACCGGACUUAAAAGGGGGUUAAAAGCCCCGUCUUUCGCCACUGCCCGUCGACCAUGGCGGCGGCGCUCUCUGCUAAUCAGAGAAAGUGAGGGGAGAGUAGAGAAAAUGAGAGUUUUAGGGUUUUUUUUAAGUUUAAAAAAAAUUGAUUUUAUAAGACAUUGAAAAGGCGUCGUUUCAGCAGGCCUCCCCAGGCGCCAAAACAGUGUCGUUUUGGGGAGGCCAACCUGUGACCCGACCUGCAGCCCACAGGAUCCGAGUGUUUUUGCAGUGAAUGGGAAAAUUGUGCGCGAGGUCCCUCCAUCUUGUGCCUGAAGUGCAAUUUGACUCUUUUUAUUUUUUUUGAUUUGGGCCGCGAAUUUUGUGUCUAUUUCAAUCUACCCUUUUGGCCAUAUGCGGUCUUUUGCAUUGAAACGCUGCGCUCUAGGACUGGGGCAUAUUGCACGAUCAGUCCUCCAGCCUUUAAGCGCAUUCAAUUUCAGCCCCCAUAGCAACCUGUUUUAUUUAUUUGCAAUUUAUACCCGAAUUUCGUUUCAAUUUCAAUUCGAUCCUUAGUCAUUUAGUUAUUUAUUUUUUAAAAUAAAAGGGGGCUGUUUUAUUUGAUUUUUUUUUUACUUAUUUAGUAGAUUUCAACCCUUUUUAAGUCAGAUUUAUAUUAGUUUAUUUAUUUACUUGCUUCUUAUUUUCCUUUUAGGUUGGCUUGUUAUUUUACUUUUUGCCCUUCUUCUUCUUCUUCUUCUUCUUCUUCUUCUUCUUCUUCUUCUUCUUCUUCUUCUUCUUCUUCUUCUUCUUCUUAUUAUUAUUAUUAUUAUUAUUAUUAUUAUUAUUAUUAUUAUUAUUAUUAUUGUUGUUGUUGUGGUUAUUAUUAUUAUUAUUAUUAUUAUUAUUGUUGUUGUUGUGGUUAUUAUUAUUAUUAUUAUUAUUAUUAUUAUUAUUACUACUGGCACCAUUCUCAUUAUUGUUUAUGCUUGUUAACUUUAUGAUUCGUUAACAUUAGUGUUAGGUAUGUUACAUUUUAUUAUGAACAUUACGUCAUGGUUAUUUAAAAUGAAUGUUGUACUAUCAUAUUUAGCCAUGUAUAACUCCUUUUACGUAUUAAACGAUUUCUAUAAAAAAUAAUAAAUUAAACGUACAUUUUUAUCCAAUUCAAAAAUUUCAAAAUAAGGUAAUAUUUAGCGUUUGAAAAUUUGAGAAAACGUGCCCUAACGUGCUGGGUUUCGAUUUUUCGUUCGACCAAAUCACUAAAUAUUCUCUUAAAUUUUCAAAGUACAGGUUUUGGGAACUAUAAGGUAAUCUUGGUUUCGAGGAUUAAAAUAUUGUAUCCUAACGUGUUGGAUGUAAUAUUCCUUCAAAACAAGAGAAUUCUAAAUUUCAACCCUUGUUAUUCGAGUUUUAUUUUUGGAUCGUAUUUUAAAAAAAAACUCCUCAAAGUUUUCAAUCUUCGACAUUUAGACAUCUAUUAAUUGAUUAGGUACCAAUUUUUGGGCGCAUUGAGGGUGCUAACCCUUCCUCCUGCGUAAUCGACUCCCGGACCCGAUUUCUUAAAAUAUCGUAAACCAAAAUCAUUGUUUUGAUAAAAUCGAAUUUUUUUGUUAAAACAACUAUUACGAGGUGAUCCGAUCACAUCUAAACAAAAAGGACCGGUGGCGACUCCAUUUUCGUUUUCACAAUUUAAAUCGACCCUAUUUUCAAAAAAAUAGUUUCGACAAUGUUUGUUUUUAUCUGUUAGAAAAUUCUAUUAAUAUAUUGAAGAAUGAUAUUACAGAAUAUUUAGUAAAAUAAUUUGUAUUAAUAAUAGUUAAUUAUGCCUUUGUGGCUAAGCUCAUGGAAAUCAUUUAAAAAUAAAAUCUAAUAAAUAAUUAAACAUAUGAUUUAAAAUUAAUAAUAAUAACAAAGUAAUAUGUAUGGAAUUUAAAUAGCUAAAUACAUUUGAUUAAGAUUUAUGUUUUGUUCUAAAUUUGGUUUCUUAAUACUUCUUCUGAAUAAGUUGGUAUUGAGUUGAUUCAUGAUACCAAUUUAGUCGCAUGGUUAAAUAACUAUAUAGGUAAAAAGUUAAAUAUUUAAGAUGAUCGAUGCCUUGUGAAAAUAACACCAUUUAAAUUUAUAUAAAUGCAUGAAAAUUACAAAAAAUACUCAAUAACAAUAUUUAUUAAUAAUUUAAAUUUUGAUUUUUUUAGUUUUCUUUUAUUCAAUUGGUGUCAAGUUAAAUCGUGACACUAACUCAGUCAGUCACACACUUAAAAAAUAAUAUAAAUACAUAGAAUAUGACGUGAGUGAUAGACCAAUUUUAUGUAAAAUUUUAAUAUAAAAUAACAAUAAAGGUUUGAUUGAAACGGAAAAAUUAAAUAUUUAAGUUGCUUGAUGUCUUAUGCAAAGGUUUAAAUCGCAUCAUUUGCUUAUUUCCCUAAGUUUAAGUUGUUCCUUAUAACUUUUAUAAAAAUGUGUGAAAAUACAAAAACACCCUAUGAUAAUGUUUAUUAAUUGUUUAAAAUUUGAGUUUUUAGUACUUUCUCUAAUUAAAUUAGUGUCGAGUUGAUUCGUAACAUCAACUCAAUCACACUUAAAUUAAAGUUUAGAUGCAUAGAACACCAGGUGAGUGAGAGUGAUAGACGUGAUUUAUGAAAAAAUUUCAUGUAAAAUAACAAUAAAGUUUUGGUUAAAAUAAUAAAUUUAAUUUGUAAUAUUUAAAAUGAUAAAUUUACACAUAGAAUACUUGCCAUUUGCAUAUUUUUCAUAAGUUUAUUUUAUUUUUUAAAAUAAAUUUUAUAUAAAGGUAUGAAAUGCAAAAGCACCUUCUAAUAACAUUUAUUAAUCGUUAAAAUUUUGAUUUUUUAAGUACUUUGCCUAAUCGAGUUGGUGUCGAGUUAGUCCAUGAUAUAACUGAUAUGAGCCAAGGAGGUGACACUCAAGGGGUUAUUUUUCCUUGUGGUCCAAUCACUCGAAGCAGGGCACGACAAUUAAAAUAAAAAAUGAAUGCUUUUGUCCAAGACUUUGUUGCUACAAAUUUAAGUCUUCAUGUUCGUGAGUUGACAAAUACGGGAAUGCAAUUCACUGGACCAAUCUUGGAAUAGUGAAAGCCCAUAAAUUGGUGGAUUAAUCUUUUAUGUAUCUUAUUAUUAUUAUUUAACUAAAACUUAUGAUAUUUUACAUGAGCAUUUUUAUUGGCCUAACAUGCGAAAACUUGUUGAGAAAAUUUGCUCUACUUGCAUUACAUGUAAACAAGCUAAAUCCACCGUGAUGCCUCAUGGUCUAUAUACUCCUCUUCCUAUUCCUAGUUCACAUUGGACUGACAUUUCAAUGGAUUUUGUAAUAGGUCUACCAAGGACAAAGCGUGGACGAGAUAGCAUCUUUGUGGUUGUGGAUCGAUUUUCUAAAAUGGCUCAUUUCAUUCCAUGCCACAAGACUGAUGAUGCAACCCAUGUUGCCGAUCUAUUUUUUCGUGAAGUUGUGAGAUUACAUGGAAUCCCAAGGACUAUCGUUUCCGAUAGAGAUGCAAAAUUUCUUAGUCACUUUUGGAAGGUGUUAUGGGGUAAGUUAGGUACUAAACUACUUUACUCUACUACAUGCCACCCUCAAACUGAUGGUCAAACCGAGGUGGUAAAUCGAGUUUUGGGAUCUUUGCUUAGAGCCAUAAUAGGUAAGAAUGUUAAAUCUUGGGAAGAAUGGAUACCCUAUGUUGAGUUUGCUUAUAAUCGUGCUGUUCAUUCUUCCACAGGUUUUACUCCUUUUGAGAUUGUAUAUGGCUUUAAUCCACUUACUGUUUUAGAUUUGCUUCCUUUACCUUUAAAUGAGAUUGCUAAUUUAGAUGGUGAAAGGAAAGCUGAUUUAGUGAAAGAGAUCCAUGAGAAGGCUCGUAAAGCCAUUGAGAAAAAGAAUGAGUCCAAUGCACAUCGAGCUAAUAAAGGGCGAAAGCAAGUCUUGUUUGAACCUGGAGAUUGGGUAUGGGUGCAUAUGAGGAAGGAACGAUUUCCUUCUAAGAGAAAGAAUAAACUUGAUGCACGAGGAGAUGGACCAUUCCAAGUACUCGAGAAAAUAAAUGACAAUGCUUAUCGCAUUGAUCUUCCUGGUGAGUAUAGUGUUAGUGCUACUUUCAAUGUUUCUGAUCUUUCUCCUUUUGAAUUUGAUGUAGGUUCAGAUUCAAGGACGAAUCUUCUUGAAGAGGGGGAGAAUGAUAUGAGCCAAGGAGGUGACACUCAAGGGGUUAUUUUUCCUUGUGGUCCAAUCACUCGAAGCAAGGCACGACAAUUAAAAUAAAAAAUGAAUGCUUUUGUCCAAGACUUUGUUGCUACAAAUUUAAGUCUUCAUGUUCGACGUUGACAAAUACGGGAAUGCAAUUCACUGGACCAAUUUUGAAAUAGUGAAAGCCCAUAAAUUGGUGGAUUAAUCUUUUAUGUAUCUUAUUAUUAUUAUUUAGUUAAUUUUAUUGGAUUAUUAUUUAUUUAUUUUCUUAUAUAAUUUUAAAGAAAUUUAUUAGGAUUCAAUUACUAUUGAAAGAGUUUUAUUAGGAUUCAAUUACACUUGUAAUUUGCCUAUAAAUAGGCUUACUUUCUACACAUUGAAGACAGAAUGAAAAAAGAGAUAAUUUAUUUUCUUCCAAAUUUGUGUGAGGCAAAUUUUUGUGAGUAGAGUGAUUCUUCUCUUGCUAUUUAGUUUGGAGUCUGUUACUUUCGAGGGUAUUUCGGAGUUACAAAUAUUCAAAUUUCUUUCCCGUUCAUCGGUGUUUCUAGAGGUUCUUCUUCUAGGGGUUUCGUAGGGAGCCGCUCAAUCAUUGGCGUUUUUGGUUACAAGUUAACCAAGGGUUCCAUAAGGCAAAUCUAUCAUUUUUAUUAUUUAUUUAUUAUUAUUUUAACUAAUUUUAUUUAUUCUCGUUUUAUUUCUAAUGUUUCUCUUGUGUCUAGAUCCAGGAUUCCGCAUCAAUAACUUAGACACAUAAUUAGACAACAGUGUAAAAGUGUAGAUACAUAAAUCACAAUAAGCGUGAUAAGUAAAUUGUAUGUAAAAAAACUCAUAUAAAUAUUAUAUUAAUAGAUGAGAACAUCUGUAUUUAAAAAAAAAUCCAGAAAGAUGAUUGCAUACCAAGGCUUGGAACAUUGCAAUCUUGGUACACAAAAAAGCAAAAAAAAAUUAAGCAAUAAGAUUUCAUAGAGCUAUAAAAUGUAUACAACAGUAAAUUAACACAAAAAAAAAAAACAAAGUAGAAAACUAACCCCCACCCCCCCAAUUUGCCGUCCACAGUAGUUGUGACCUUAUUAUAUAAUCUUCAAUUCUUAAUAAUCUAUACUAUAUAUGUAUAGAACACAGACACUUAAAACAUGCAAUAAGCAAACCAUGAUGAUGACCCAAAUUUUAUGUGAAAAUAUUAAACCAAGCAAGCAUCAUAAGCAACAAUCCUAUCCAUGAUCUUGGCCACACUAUCUUUGGACUCCUUUAACACCUUGAUGCUGUUUUUAAGCUUCUCACGCUUUGCAACAAUGGCAGGAGAUUCCACCAGCAUCAUCUUUAUCCCAUGUCCAUCUGGUCCCAUCAGCUCCUUCACAAUCUCAUCAAUGUCAUUGUGUACAAGAUUAUGAACAUGGUAUCGUAAAUGCAAUGCCAUGGAAUCAACCAAUCUCACCUUAAAUACCUUCCAAUAAGCAACCAUUCUCAUCUUCAGGUCGAAAGCUUGUUGCAGGAUCGAAACAUCCGAGUGUUUUCUAAGAUGUUCGAUUUGGAUUUCCCCUAAACCUUGGAGAUCCACACUGCAAGGCAGCGGCCGCAUGUUUGUUCCAGAUAUUUGGUUUAUGAAAUGGUCUUGUUGCUUCAUGAGCUUAUUCCACUCCAUCAUGUAAUCAGGGUUACAUGUAUAGCCUGUUAGCUUCUCCAUUUCUACAAUCUCUUUCACCCUAUUGAUUGAUUGCUCCCUCAGCUUUUGAACAAGGUUGUGAGCAGCUCCUUUCGCGGAUACCUUGAGGUGAUAAUACAUUUCCGAGUGGCGCGUCAAAACAGACAUCACCACAUCGUCUAUGUAAUCCCAAUACUUUUCGCUGAGUUUGAUAGGGAGAUACGAUAUCCUCUCGACUUUU